AUCCUUUGGCAUUUGAGAGUUGCUUUGUGUAUACAGCCCUUUAACGGAGUAAAUGGCCAGCCAGGAAACCAAAAUAUGGACAAGGAAAAAGAAGCAUCUGUGGAGGAAGUUUUACAAGCGGCCCUCCUCAUCCAUGUUGUUGGCUAUGCCCAUAUGCUACAUGUCUGUGGACCACUAUGUGUGUUUGAGGGUGCCUCAAAAGUGACAGAGGGUGUAGAAAGCUUGUUAGUAAAAUGCUACUAAAAA
This 246-nucleotide long non-coding RNA is filed under the name Pongo abelii (Sumatran orangutan). RNAcentral describes it as "lincRNA". The record is from RNAcentral. Lineage: Eukaryota; Metazoa; Chordata; Mammalia; Primates; Hominidae.